Molecule: transfer RNA, 77 nt
Filed under: Bacteroidota bacterium
Lineage: Bacteria; Pseudomonadati; Bacteroidota
Also listed under: 1 other name
Description: Bacteroidetes bacterium (marine metagenome) tRNA-Ala
Rfam family: tRNA
About the family: Transfer RNA (tRNA) molecules are approximately 80 nucleotides in length. Their secondary structure includes four short double-helical elements and three loops (D, anti-codon, and T loops).
Source: RNAcentral
GGGGGAUUAGCUCAGUUGGCUAGAGCGUUACACUGGCAGUGUAAAGGCCAUCGGUUCGAAUCCGAUAUUCUCCACCA